UUGGGAGCCUAUAAAGUAGCAAAGGUGGCAGUUUUCAGGUCUCUGCACAAUAUCCUGAUGAAGUGGAAUUGUCAUCUCCAGAUGUCACUCAGAAUGAGCAAGGCUCAGCUAAUAAACGGCUGAGCAAAAGUGGACAUACCGUCUACUGCUUGAUUACUAAUCUAUGGGCUACCCGGCAGGCCUUAUUUAGACAGAACUGUAACCAUACAAAGAGUUAUUUUAUUUACCAAUAUUAAAAUUAGUCAUGCAGCUUACAAAUAGUCACCUUAAAUGUACCCUUACCUUCCUCUUUUGGAAAAGUUAAUUGUUAGAAAUCUGCCAGUUAAGAUAAAACUCAACUUUCAAAAAAGUACUUGUGAUGAGCGAGGGCUGAGGAAAGGCGUGGAAUAAAAUAGUUCGUGGCCAACUCCAGCCUGUGUGGAAGGCCUAGGAGGAUUACUCAUCUGAGUUGGAGAAAAAGAAAUUCCUUUUAUCUGUUAUUAUUCAGGAAUUUUUGUAGAAGCCUAGUCUGUAUGCCUUAGAAGUUUCAGAAACAAGCAAUCUUUUUUUCUUAAUUAACAAAAUACAGUCAUGUCACAACAAGGAUGUAUUCUCAUAAAUGUGCUGUUAGGCAGUUUCAUUGUGAACAUCAUGGAAUGUAGCUGCAUCAAUGAAAAUGCCUAUGACAUCACAAGGCAAUGUAAUCUUAUGGGACCACCAUGCCAUGCACAUACCAUUGUGUACCAAAACAUUUUGCACUUCACAACUAAAAUCACUGAAGCACAGAAGAUCUUUCAGUUUUAG
This 783-nucleotide long non-coding RNA is filed under the name Chinchilla lanigera (long-tailed chinchilla). Its description in RNAcentral is "lncRNA (ENSCLAG00000023410.1)". The record is from RNAcentral. Lineage: Eukaryota; Metazoa; Chordata; Mammalia; Rodentia; Chinchillidae.